UACGCAGGGGGCAAGCGUUGUCCGGAAUCAUUGGGCGUAAAGCGCGUGUAGGCGGCCCGAUAAGUCCGCUGUGAAAGUCCAGGGCUCAACCCUGGGAUGCCGGUGGAUACUGUCGGGCUCGAGUCCGGAAGAGGCGAGUGGAAUUCCUGGUGUAGCGGUGAAAUGCGCAGAUAUCAGGAGGAACACCAAUGGCGAAGGCAGCUCGCUGGGACGUGACUGACGCUGAGACGCGAAAGCGUGGGGAGCAAACAGG
RNAcentral lists this ribosomal RNA (253 nucleotides) under uncultured bacterium. RNAcentral describes it as "partial 16S ribosomal RNA". It matches the Rfam family "Bacterial small subunit ribosomal RNA", at positions 524 to 776 of the family's 1533-position model. The record is from RNAcentral.